AUGAUCAGAUUUAAUAGGUUCACCACUGUUGAACCAACCGUUGAGACGGACCUUGAAUUCCCAUUCUACACUUAUUCGCUCACUAAACUGGCCCACCUGCCUGCGCCCCUUGAGAGGCCUCCUUUCUUUACAGAUGUGCUUGGCCUUAUCGUUGCCGUGUCAGACACCAUGCAGUAUCACAGUUCAAGCAGGGCCCAACCUUUUGUGAAACGAAUUGUCACCAUUCGGGAUCUCAGUGGGUAUCAGAUAAAUGUUGUGCUUUGGGGCGAGCAUGCAACGGUGUUUGAUGCAGAGGAGGUCAUCACAAUUGGUCUGACCGGACCAGUCUUCGUUCUGUUUGUUGGCACUCUGGUCAAAAACUAUGAAGGUCGAAGGGGGGUUAGCGGAAGUGCAGCGUGUCGGUGGUACAUUAAUGAUGACAUUACUGAAAUAUCAUAUUUUCAUGAGAGGUUACAGGGCAAGUUCUCUCCUGUAGAAAAGAUACGUUUACCAGGACAGACGAUGGCUCAAGUGGCUGCACAUGUUGAAAUGGAAACUAAGACGGUGGCAGAGCUGCUGGCUUUAGAUAUAUACAAGCAUAAGGAAGCCAGUUUCUUCACCUCGAUUACAUUGGCUAGGCUCAGUCCUGGGCAGCGCUGGUGGUUCAUGUGCUGUGAGAAAUGUCAUAAAACUUCCCAGCCAUAUGGGUCUGUCUACAGGUGCAAUGAUACCAAAUGUUCAUGCACCGAUGCACGGCCAAGGUAUCGGAUCUGUUUCGUGGGGGCUGAUGAUACAGGUGAGGCUGAGUUCGUCUUAUUUGAUAGAGCCGGCAGGGAUGCUGUUGAUAAAUCUCUGAUCACCCUGCUACGCGAGGGGAAUUCUAACCGGAUGCCUCUUAACGAGGUUGUUCAAAUGGCCCGUGGGACUGAUGCCCUUCCCCGUGAGCUUUCUACAUUGAUUGGCCAAAAGUAUCGAUUUGUGGUGUCUAUCUCGUCAAAGAGUUUCCAACCAGAGGCAGAAGAGACCUCAUACCAGGUCAACCGUAUUGAUGUUCCAGUGGAAAAGGGGUCCCGUUCCACAGUUGAGUAUCGCAAGGCUGAUUCUUCUGAACAGUUUGAAAGUGAUACAGGCUCACUGGCCCUUGCUGGUGUUGCUGACUCUACUGUGCUUCCCACUGAGUCCAUCCCAUCCUUAACCACCACGGAUCUCCAUUCGCUUGUCCAGUCAAAUGAGGCUACAACUCCUAAAGCUCAACCUGGCCGUGGUCGGGCUUCUCCGGCAUCUGUCAACAAAGUUACCAGUGUAAAGCAGAUGGAAAAGAACAAGGCGCCAAAGAAUGUUGUGCAUGUGCCUCUGCUUCCUCCAGCUACUAAUGAGGUCACCGAUCCAGUUGUUGAUCCUAAAACACAGGAUGUUGAUGGGACUACUUCAAGGGGUGUUGAUGCAGAGGAGGGAGGCGAGGAUCCCAGCGCCAGGAAAAGGCUUAAGCUCUAG
Molecule: ribosomal RNA, 1473 nt
Filed under: Triticum aestivum (bread wheat)
Lineage: Eukaryota; Viridiplantae; Streptophyta; Magnoliopsida; Poales; Poaceae
Description: partial small subunit ribosomal RNA
Source: RNAcentral